RNAcentral lists this ribosomal RNA (373 nucleotides) under uncultured organism. Its description in RNAcentral is "partial 16S ribosomal RNA". It matches the Rfam family "Bacterial small subunit ribosomal RNA", at positions 527 to 896 of the family's 1533-position model. The record is from RNAcentral.
GUAGGUGGCAAGCGUUGUCCGGAAUUAUUGGGCGUAAAGCGCGCGCAGGCGGUUCUUUAAGUCUGAUGUGAAAGCCCACGGGCUCAACCGUGGAGGGUCAUUGGAAACUGGAGAACUUGAGUACAGAAGAGGAAAGCGGAAUUCCACGUGUAGCGGUGAAAUGCGUAGAGAUUUGGAGGAACACCAGUGGCGAAGGCGGCUUUCUGGUCUGUAACUGACGCUGAGGCGCGAAAGCGUGGGGAGCAAACAGGAUUAGAUACCCUGGUAGUCCACGCCGUAAACGAUGAGUGCUAAGUGUUGGGGGGUUUCCGCCCCUUAGUGCUGCAGCUAACGCAUUAAGCACUCCGCCUGGGGAGUACGGCCGCAAAGGCUG